This 3230-nucleotide long non-coding RNA is filed under the name Canis lupus familiaris (dog). RNAcentral describes it as "lncRNA (ENSCAFG00000052665.1)". The stretch from base 633 to 705 matches the Rfam family "tRNA". The record is from RNAcentral. Lineage: Eukaryota; Metazoa; Chordata; Mammalia; Carnivora; Canidae.
ACUUGUUUUCAUCAUCUCUUGCUAUACUCAUUAGUUGUCUUUUCUACAUUAUAUUAACCUAUCAAUUGUUAGUAAUUUUUUUUUAAGAUUUUAUUUAUUUGACACAGAAAGAGAGAGCAGGUCCCCACUGAGCAGAGCCUGACUUGGGGCUCCAUCCCAGGACCCUUGGAUCAUGACCUGAGCCAAAGGCAGAUACUUAACUGACAGAGCCAACCCGGGGCCCUGAAUUAUUUUCAAUAUUUUUGGCUCUCCAGAUAACUAAACAAUCUUGAUGUGAAAAUGCUUAAAUUAUUCAGAUGUUGGGCAGCCCGUGUGGCUCAGGGGUUUAGCGCUGCCUUCAGCCCAGGGCCUGAUCUUGGAGACCCAGGAUCGAUGUCAGGCUCCCUACAUAGAGCUUCUCUCUCUCUCUCUCUCUCUCAUGAAUAAAUAAAUAAAAUCUUAAAAAACUAUUCAGAUGUUGCCUGCUAAAGCUGAGUGUUUCAAAAGUUCUAUGUUUAUGAAGACACUGAUUUUAUUCCCCUAACAUUGACAACCUUGUUUUUCCUUAAGCACAGCACAAUGGCAAUACAAAAGAAUGUACUUUCCAAAUCUUGGGACCAAUUUAAAGUUGAUAGUGUCAUAGUGUCUGGGGUGCCUGGCUGGCUCAGUCAGCAGAGCAUGUGGCUUUUGAUCUCAGGGUUGUGAGUUUGUGCCCCAUGUUGGGUGUGGAGAUAAAAAAGAAAAUAAAGUAGAUAGUGUCCUAAAACUAAAACUUCUUCCAAAGCAAAAUGUCUUCCUAAUGUACAAACCCUGUGCAUAAGAUUAUUUAAUAUUUCAAAUUUUGCAGAAUUUUAAAGUUCUUAUUAAAUCACAUCUUUCUAAUAUAGAAGAAAGAUAACACUACAUUUUGCAAAACUUGUCCUCAUAGGCAAUUCUGCUAAUCCUUUAGAUCUACCAUUACUGCUGAAGUCUGGAGUCCCUGACCCCUUUUUGCAUGCCUACUUUUUCUCCAAAAGCUUGAAAACACCAGGGGUUAAGUUUCUGAGCUUUGGAAAGCAUGAGAACAGACAGUCCCCAACUUACGAUGUUCAACUAAUAAUUUUUUGGCUUUAUGAUCAUGUGAAAGCAAUAUGCAUUCAGUAGAAACUGUACCCGGGAUUUUGGAUUUUGAUAUUUCCCAGACUAACACUAUGUGGCACAAUACUCUGUCAUAGUGCUGGACAACAGCAGCUACAGCCCACGCUCAACCAUGUGAUCACGAGGGUCAGUAACCGAUACACUUACAACCCAUACAACCGUUCUGUAUUUCACUUUAAGUACAGUAGUCAAUAAAUUACAUGAAAUGGUCAAUACUUUAUCAUAAAGUAGGAUUUGUGUUAGAUGAUCUUUCCCCAAAUAGGCUAAUGUAAGUGUUCUAUGUUUAAAGUAGCUGUGCUCUAAGUGGUGAUGUUUGGUGGGUUAAGUGUAUUAAAUGCAUUUUCAACUUGUAUUUUCAAUUUACGAUGGGUCUAUAAGGACAUAACCCCAUCACAAAUGGAGGAAGAUUAUAUGUGUUUGUACCUGGCAACACUACACAUCCGCAGAAAUUCCUCAGCAAAGGUGGGCACAGGUGCCACAAACAAUUAGGGAAAACCUGGGUAAGUGGAGGAUGGUGUGGUGGGCCCCGGCCUAGAAAAAUCCCAAACUGAAAACUGUCUCUGUAAAUUCCAACUCAUAACAGCAGUGGUAGCAGCAUUCAGCAGUUUCUGUACAUUAGCAAGACAAGAUGCACUUUUCCUAUGACUCAUUUUGUAGCUAAACUCAAGACUUUCAGCCUCGAUUUUUAUUACAGUGCAAUUAUGGGGUAGAAAUUCAGCCUUUCACAGCUAUACUUGUGGCCAUAAAACCCAGACCUUCCACUUCUGCACUCCUGGAAAUGGGGAGCACAGGUGACACAAAAGCAGAUGAAAUUAUUUGUAUACUUGUACUCGAAGCUUUUAUUCCCAAAUCCUUACUGUGACAUCUACUUUCAGGGCACAGGAAGGUGGAGUCAGUCUGGCUACAAGUGGGUCUCUGGACCACAUCUAUGAUCAGUAAGUCACCACUAAUGCAGCUACAAGCACACUCCAAUCCAUCAAAUACCCUCAUACAUAAAUUACAGUGCAGAGGUUCCAUGUAGAGCAGCUAUUUGUGGCAUUAAAAACCUGGGAUAUUGCCCCCCAUUUAAAUACAUCAUCCAAAACCAGAGUAUUUCCAUCCUCUUGAUCAGAACUAGUUAGAACUGCCCUUGUUCUCUGGGUAAGGCUGAGAUGUACGGAAUGCCAAGACAGUUGGUCACCACUCAAUUCAAGUGAAAAAAAGUCCAGCUGACUUUCUGAUCUUUUAUGCGGAUGUGCCACAAACAGCCUUAUCAGCAGUUCAGCGAACUGCUUAGAAUUAUCUUUUUAGUUUUAUGGGUUUCUUCUACACCCUUAAUGUCUGGCUGAUGUGUUUUUUCUGACCUGUGGAGGUUUAAUAGUGAAUGAUAAUCAUUAUGGUUCGGUAAACUCUAAAACGUAUUUAUAUCUAGCUGAUCUUAACCUUUUUUUUUUCAUUAAGGUAUCAUUUAUAUACAGUAAAAUCCACCCUGUUAUGUGCACAGGUCUACAGAUUUUGACAGACACAUAUAGCUGUGUCAUCUAGGGAGUAUUUUUUUUUUCUUAUUCUGAUUUCAUAAUUCUCUACACCACAUGUGUAUUUUAAUUUCCUGGCUGUAUCAGUGAGAACUGCUACCUGCUGCAGAAAUUCAAAAUAAGGGCUUCUUAAACCCAACAUUUAAACCAGGAAGAAUAUUCAAGGGUGCCUCGCACAUCUGCGCAAAGUGCACAGCCCGACGGCAGGAGAAGCCAGCAUGUGGGGAGUGGCGCCCCCUAGUGUUUCCUGUGCAUAAUCUGCAUGGCCAUCCGUGGCCGCUCUGAAUAUAGCCACCAGUUUGAGGGAUCUUCAAAACUGUGGUGGUGUUAACAGUGAAACAGGAGAUGUUUAAAAUAAAAAAAGGAGGCUCCAUGCAGAGAGCCUGACGUGGGACUCGAUCCAGGGUCUCCAGGAUCACACCCUGGGCUGCAGGCGGCGCUAAACUGCUGCGCCACUGGGGUUGCCCUCUGGUCUGCAUUUUAAAACCUUUUCUCUUGCCUUUGCAAAUGUUACAUCCUCCUUCUAAAGAACCACCAUAGGUUCUUUAGAUGUUCCUCCCUACAAGGCACUUAGAACAAAUGCCAGUUACCAAAAAAAAA